Molecule: ribosomal RNA, 122 nt
Filed under: Pachypsylla venusta (hackberry petiole gall psyllid)
Lineage: Eukaryota; Metazoa; Arthropoda; Insecta; Hemiptera; Aphalaridae
Source: RNAcentral
GCCAACGAUCAUACCACGUUGAAUACACCAGUUCCUAUCAGAUCACUGAAGUUAAGCAACGUCGGGCGUGGUCAGUACUUGGAUGGGUGACCGCUUGGGAACAUUACGUAUCGUUGGCUCUU